GCACGUGGAGUUCACGUGUCAGUGGCCGCACUGAAAGAGGAUUGGAGCUGAGAAACCGGCGGAUGGCGAGGAUUCUCCCCAAGGCUCCCGCCGCCGCCGCAGCCUCCAUCGAACUAGCCGGCCUCCGCUCGCCAUUCCCCUCCUAAUCCUCCUCCGCCGUCCCCCUGUCCACCCGGAGCUGGCCUCUGCUCUGUUCCUCUCCGUGGGCCCUGUCCUCCCUGCGGUCGUGGCUGCGGUGAGCUCUGAGUUCUGUGAUAUCCUAAAACUCUAGCUCUCUAUUCCGCAUUUUUCUUGAUCACUUGGAGACUUCCGAUUGCUCGUGUGCCUGGUGAACUACUUAAUCUCAGCCAUUAGUUUCGCUUCAAGAUUGCAUCUUUUUCCUAAAGAAGCGUGUGCAUUAUUGCUGGGCCGGAAGAUGGUAUUAAAUCGGGCGUUCUUACUGUAUUUUUGGGUUUGCCAAGACAGUGGAUCUUAUAGAGGCCAGAGGAACAGCAAUGAGGGAUACUGACUUUGUAAAAGGUGGCAAAACAGUGAUUGUUUUUAUCAAAGAUCCUGAUUAUUAUAAGUUUGAGCUUUUGGAAAGGGCCCCAACACCAUAGCCCUUGUGUCGACUUUAAUCACCGUACUUCUCCCUAAAAGCUAAGGUUAUUUCUAGAUCAGCAUGUCACUUUUUGGGAGGAAAUGUUCGAUCCUUAGCUAUGUUCAUGGCACCUAGUAUGGAGCUUCUCCGCAAACAAGGGAAUGCUGAAUUCAAGGGCUUUGUUGACAAUAUAGGUUUUGCCAUAGAGACAGAGCAAUCAAUGGCCAUGAAUGAGUUUAGUGCUGUAUCUACAUCUCAAGUGAGUGCCUCUCACUCAACGGUGCCAGUGCUGGACCAAUCUUGCAAAGCAUCUGCAUCAGAUUUCACUUUGUACAUGGAUCGUCUUUGUAUAUACUUCUAAUUUGCAUAUGGUUUGCUAUCGGUUGUAAAGUUGCAGUUUCUUAGCCAAGUGCAAUGAAAGUUCAAUCAUGGAGGAUGUUCUAUAUUUUGGAUUGUCAUACAUUUACCUGUCUGUUGGAGUCUAUGUAAAGAUCAAAGGAACAAGCAUUUUCUCAGUUUAAGAAUGUUCAGCCAACUCUAGCUGAUGCUUCA
Long non-coding RNA from Musa acuminata AAA Group (dessert banana), 1132 nucleotides. RefSeq lists it as uncharacterized. NCBI's taxonomy places the organism in Eukaryota, Viridiplantae, Streptophyta, Magnoliopsida, Zingiberales, Musaceae. The transcript is spliced from 3 exons. The record is from RefSeq and is a predicted model, not a curated record.